GCCGAAGUGGUGGAAUCUGGUAGACACGCAGGAUUUAGGUUCCUGUGCCUUCGGGCGUGCGGGUUCAAGUCCCGCCUUCGGCA
RNAcentral lists this transfer RNA (83 nucleotides) under Aeromicrobium sp. Root495. It matches the Rfam family "tRNA". Rfam says of the family: Transfer RNA (tRNA) molecules are approximately 80 nucleotides in length. Their secondary structure includes four short double-helical elements and three loops (D, anti-codon, and T loops). Further hydrogen bonds mediate the characteristic L-shaped molecular structure. tRNAs have two regions of fundamental functional importance: the anti-codon, which is responsible for specific mRNA codon recognition, and the 3' end, to which the tRNAs corresponding amino acid is attached (by aminoacyl-tRNA synthetases). tRNAs cope with the degeneracy of the genetic code in two manners: having more than one tRNA (with a specific anti-codon) for a particular amino acid; and 'wobble' base-pairing, i.e. permitting non-standard base-pairing at the 3rd anti-codon position. Lineage: Bacteria; Bacillati; Actinomycetota; Actinomycetes; Propionibacteriales; Nocardioidaceae. The record is from Rfam by way of RNAcentral. RNAcentral also lists the same sequence under 1 other name.